GAUUGUUUCGGAUAUCGAUCUACAACUACAGUCAAGAUUAUUACUCCCUCUACUGGCACUGCAUCGUCAGUAAACCCUAUCAACAGGGAGCUAAUCGGCCCUAACCGACCAUCAGGGAUGGAUAUUUUUGAGAAUGCAUCGUAAAAUAAAAUAUCGAUCGAGCUUCCACUAUCAACAAGAAUGCGGCGUACAUCAUAAUCAGUGAUAUUUAAAGAAAC
This 218-nucleotide long non-coding RNA is filed under the name Elaeis guineensis (African oil palm). Its description in RNAcentral is "long non-coding RNA (EGUI_LNC035582)". Lineage: Eukaryota; Viridiplantae; Streptophyta; Magnoliopsida; Arecales; Arecaceae. The record is from RNAcentral.